CACACACACACACGCACACAUACAUUUUUCCUUGCUCUGCUUUUCUGUACUUUCUCCCGACCUGCUUGCUCUCCACCUUCUCCUCUCCCUUCCUCUUCCCCGGCACCUUUUUUCAUUGUGGAACACAGAGGACAGACACAGAGCUGCUCCAUAAUGCAGAGGAAGAGGCCAGCGGUCCUGGAUGCUGACCCAGGUGAUACACACUCUGCAGAAGGGCCCCCAUAUGCCGCCGGACCUCCAUCGUCCACAGGAAAAACACACGACGUCAGACACACACUCGCGUGUGUCAUGUGAUCAGGGCCUGAGGGAACCAGAAGAAAUUAACACGGAGACCAAACGCGAAGGAGGCUAAAGGAAAGGAAAGCAGCGUGGAGCCGGCGGGCCGCUGGGACCGGGACGGCCAUUUCCGCUUCUUAAGAUAGCUUCACCCAUCCACAGCUCCCCCUGGUUCCUGUCUCUCCUGUUAAAUCCCAAUUUUAAAAAGUGCCCUUUCUGGUUAAUUACCAUCUCUUUAUAGUCUCCUGUUAAGUGCAGAGGGAAUACAGAAAGAGAGAGAAAGAGAAAUAAAGAACAAAAGAAAGAAUAGACAAUAACUGUGUUAACCCAGUCACAUAAUGUGAGUAUCCUGGAGAAGUAGGGGGGAGGCAGGGGGCAGGUGGGGAGUGCAGGCAGGGAGGCGAAGGGCAGGCGGGGGCAGUGCCCCCAGUGAGAGCAUGAAGGGGAGACACAUGAGAAGGAGAAUUAUGGAGUAGCGAGCGACGGACAACAUCAGGAGCGGAAAGGGACAGGGAUGCAGGCAGGAAGUGAGGGUGACCAGACAGUAAGUCGCAAUGAAAAGAGGACAGGCAGAAAAUGAAGGUGGACAGCCGGAAUCGAGCAUGUCCAAAGGCAGCCUGGUCCACAGGACUGGCAGCAGCCGCAGUUUGAAACAGAGGCAGCGGGAGAAGGGUGAGAAAACAACUGAUUCACCUUAAAAGGGAAUGAGCAACAUACUGGCAUCCUGCCUGGGCUGCCCCCAUGACCCUGACUUGGGUACGCCAUAACAAGAUGGAUGGAUGGAUGGAUGGAUGGAUGGAUGGAUGGAUGGAUGGAUGGAUGGAUGGAUGGAUGGAGUUACUGGUUCUGUUAAAGGCAUAUUUUCAGUCAGCAAGCAGCAAGGAGCUGGUGCUGGAAACUUUAACUUCAUUACCAACUCUGACAUCAUUCAUUGUCAGAAAGUGGAAAUCUGGGGCAGUUUGUCCUCCUAAAAGUGGGGGUGUCAUUUCUAUGGUGCUUCUUUCUACAAAAACCUAGAGGCAGAGAUUCGUGAGAGAAAGAGGAGUUAGACAUACACAAAAGAAUGCAAACAGACAAAGGAAGAGGUGGAGAGACAGAGCGACGGAGCAAAGAGAGAGAGAUAGGCAGACGGCGUGGUGGCCGAGCCGCCCGACGCAGUCGCUCUCUCCCUCUAUCCUCCCUCACAUGUAAAGCGUCCCGCCCGCCCGCCGCGCUCCCUCUCGCCACUCCUUGCCCACCCCCCAUCUGUCACCAUCAUCACCGUCCAACCGCACCGCGAGCCUGAAUCCCGCACCAUGCCGUACUCCGCUCAGCACUCGCUGACUGGCUUAAUUUGAUGUGGACCUAUUCCUCCAAAUAUGUCUGUACAGACAGCAACACAAACACAAGUAUUCUUUUUUUUGCCACCUAAUCACAAGACACCUACUACACAAAGCGUGCACACACACCUAUCUGAAUACUUACUUGCCUUGUGUCGGGCUGAGUGUGGGUACAGUGUGUGUGUACAAGGACACACACAUCAACACACUAGCACAGUGCUGAUUGUUGGUUUCUAUAACCAGACUAUAGUCCCUCGUUUAUCUUCGGAACUCUUGUCACCUGAAGCCAAUAACGGAUAUUCUCUGUUUUUGAUUUCACUAUCACCGGUAAUAAUAUUUUAAUAUUUCAGUAACCGUACUGUGCUCAUAGUCCACUAUAUGCGUUAUAUUGCUCCUUUCCUUCUGUGUAAUUCAGCGACCGUGCCUGGUUUAACAACAUAGGCACAUUUUUAACAUUAACCCCCUCUACCACUUCUAGACCUCCAUCGCUGCCAUCGUUCUUUUGUCUUUAAAUUGACUGCCUCCGGUUUCUUUCUAUGUACGCCCCCUCCAGCGUUACCCUGGACGAACUAGGAGCCCCCCACCCUUCACCAGCUACCGACACGCACGUUUUUUUUUCCCAAGUUUUGCACCUUUUCUUCUUAAAACGCAGCGGCUCUUGCUUUUCUCCCAGUUGCUAGUGUUUUCCUGCGGUUCAGAUGACGGUCGCCCUUGCUGUCUUACGAUUCACGGCGCUCCAGCCGCCGGUGCGGUGUCUGCGCUUCCCAAACCUCUUGGGUGUCUUUAUAUGUUUUCGUGCACAAACUACACGUCCUGCUUCGCGACUCCUCCGUUUUUAAAUUGGGAUUCCCUUGCUGCCGGUUCCUGGUUUGACUGGGAUUCCCACGCCGCGCUUUCCUGAUUUAUACUGGGAUCCCUCAGCUGUCUGUCGAUUCACGGUGUGGCGGAGUGCGGUCUGCUGAUCUGUGUGAAGGAGAAGGUGUCUCCCCCGUCCAACCCCACCCCACCCCGCACUCUGACUCAUUUUCAGCCGCCGAUACGGCAGCAGUGACCUACAAUGUGUAAUCGUGUGUGCUGUUGACACAUGUUCCAUCAUAUGGUAUACACACGUAUAUGAAACAUCUAUACGUGUGAUGUGUUCUUGCAAUUAUCCAUUUCACUUGUGCGAUUGCAAGCAUAACUGAUAAAAAUAGCCGUGAUCGAUAUGGUAGGAAUAAAAAUAGGGGGAAAGCAAUGUGGGUCUUUUCGCCUUUAUAAUCAAUGAGUCCGUGCUUAAUUGAUUCCCACCACGUUUCAAUAUGAACUCUGAUCGGUCUGUCUGCGUGGGCAUCGUCGCGGUCAGUUCGGGGGUUGAUAGCUUGGGAAUGAUAAGCCUUCACCAAAAUAUGAUUAAUCCCCACUAGAACCAGCUCCGAACUAAAACUAAAUAAAUGAAAAGCAUAAAGAUAGCACCAGUGCUCUGUGGCGACUGCAGUCCCCCGCUGACACCCAGAGGACAUAACCCACAGCUAAUAGUUAUGUGAUAUUCCCCAUAAUCAUUGAUUAAAAAAAGCAGAGAUAUAACUCUGGUGAAAUCUCGGCAUUGCACCCCCUCCCCCCAGAGUCAUUGAGCUGGUGCAGUAGCUGCGGUAACGCCGUUCCAUGUCACGUGUUCACGGUGGGUGUGCCAUGAAGGCGCCUCUGACUUGUAGUUUUAUACCAAAACAGCGUGAACAUGUCAUUCAGCAGGGACUGUACCUGCAUUUACUACCAUUAAGAAAUACGUCGUGCCGUACCUUAUAUAUUUACCUUUUCUGUAUUUGACCCCCACCCCCUCCAGCUUCCCACUAACUGCCGGAGGGAGGGCGGCGAAGAGAGCACGGCGCAGGUGCGAGAGGACAGAUGAGGGGAAGGAGGGAUCCAGGGGGAUUCAGAGGCCAAUCAGCCUGAUGAUGCCCUCCUCAGGGCCUCUGUGCCCCCCGAGUUCCCUGUCCAUUCCAUCACAGAGUCCAGGUCAGAGUCCCCGUAUGCUGAUGAAUUCAGCCAUUGUGCUGUCAUUCCCAUAUCCAGAAUGCUAACCUGUGUAUUAAACAGUUCCAGUGUGUCCCUGGUCCUCUGUGGUGUCACAGCUAAUACCCAUUAUACCAAAAAGGCCUUUUCAGUUUGUGUUGUGUUGUAGUGUAUUGUCUGACAAUUUGCCUGACUGUUCUUGUACUAUGUGUUUGUAUCUGUGCACGCAAUCACAUUUCCCCUCAGGAUCAAUAAAGUACGCAAAGAUCGAUCAAUCUA
This is a long non-coding RNA of Brienomyrus brachyistius, 3863 nucleotides long. RefSeq lists it as uncharacterized. The record is from RefSeq and is a predicted model, not a curated record. NCBI's taxonomy places the organism in Eukaryota, Metazoa, Chordata, Actinopteri, Osteoglossiformes, Mormyridae. The transcript has 3 exons.